RNAcentral lists this unclassified non-coding RNA (26 nucleotides) under Mus musculus (house mouse). Its description in RNAcentral is "oocyte_clustered_small_RNA1282". The record is from RNAcentral. Lineage: Eukaryota; Metazoa; Chordata; Mammalia; Rodentia; Muridae.
CCCGGAACCAAGAUGCCUGCUGCCGA